This 460-nucleotide ribosomal RNA is filed under the name uncultured bacterium. RNAcentral describes it as "partial 16S ribosomal RNA". It matches the Rfam family "Bacterial small subunit ribosomal RNA", at positions 338 to 795 of the family's 1533-position model. The record is from RNAcentral.
CCUACGGGAGGCAGCAGUGAGGAAUAUUGGUCAAUGGAUGAGAGUCUGAACCAGCCAAGUAGCGUGAAGGAUGACUGCCCUAUGGGUUGUAAACUUCUUUUAUAUGGGAAUAAAAUGUUCCACGUGUGGGAUUUUGUAUGUACCAUAUGAAUAAGGAUCGGCUAACUCCGUGCCAGCAGCCGCGGUAAUACGGAGGAUCCGAGCGUUAUCCGGAUUUAUUGGGUUUAAAGGGAGCGUAGGUGGAUUGUUAAGUCAGUUGUGAAAGUUUGCGGCUCAACCGUAAAAUUGCAGUUGAAACUGGCAGUCUUGAGUACAGUAGAGGUGGGCGGAAUUCGUGGUGUAGCGGUGAAAUGCUUAGAUAUCACGAAGAACUCCGAUUGCGAAGGCAGUUCACUGGACUGCAACUGACACUGAGGCUCGAAAGUGUGGGUAUCAAACAGGAUUAGAUACCCCAGUAGUC